This 75-nucleotide transfer RNA is filed under the name Holosporaceae bacterium. RNAcentral describes it as "tRNA-Val". It matches the Rfam family "tRNA". Rfam says of the family: Transfer RNA (tRNA) molecules are approximately 80 nucleotides in length. Their secondary structure includes four short double-helical elements and three loops (D, anti-codon, and T loops). Further hydrogen bonds mediate the characteristic L-shaped molecular structure. tRNAs have two regions of fundamental functional importance: the anti-codon, which is responsible for specific mRNA codon recognition, and the 3' end, to which the tRNAs corresponding amino acid is attached (by aminoacyl-tRNA synthetases). tRNAs cope with the degeneracy of the genetic code in two manners: having more than one tRNA (with a specific anti-codon) for a particular amino acid; and 'wobble' base-pairing, i.e. permitting non-standard base-pairing at the 3rd anti-codon position. The record is from RNAcentral. Lineage: Bacteria; Pseudomonadati; Pseudomonadota; Alphaproteobacteria; Holosporales; Holosporaceae.
GGGCGCAUAGCUCAGAGGUAGAGCACUACGUUGACAUCGUAGGGGUCGCAGGUCCGAUUCCUGCUGCGCCUACCA